Molecule: ribosomal RNA, 253 nt
Filed under: uncultured bacterium
Lineage: Bacteria
Description: partial 16S ribosomal RNA
Rfam family: Bacterial small subunit ribosomal RNA
Source: RNAcentral
UACGUAGGGUGCGAGCGUUGUCCGGAAUUAUUGGGCGUAAAGGGCUCGUAGGCGGUUUGUCGCGUCGGGAGUGAAAAUCCAGGGCUUAACUCUGGACUGGCUUCCGAUACGGGCAGACUAGAGGUAUGCAGGGGAGAACGGAAUUCCUGGUGUAGCGGUGAAAUGCGCAGAUAUCAGGAGGAACACCGGUGGCGAAGGCGGUUCUCUGGGCAUUACCUGACGCUGAGGAGCGAAAGUGUGGGGGGCAAACAGG